CUACGGAGGAUGCAAGCGUUAUCCGGAUUUAUUGGGUUUAAAGGGUGCGCAGGCGGCUUGUUAAGCGGGAGGUGAAAUGCCGGCGCUCAACGUCGGAAGUGCCUCCCGAACUGGUGAGCUUGAAUGACUCUGCCGUGGGAGGAAUGUGUAGUGUAGCGGUGAAAUGCUUAGAGAUUACACAGAACACCGAUUGCGAAGGCAUCUCUCGAAGGGUGGAUAGUCACUGAGGCUCGAAAGCGUGGGAGUAGAACAGGAUUAAAUACACUGGUAAGCCACGCCGUAAACGAUGAUGACUAAACGUCGGCGAUAGACAGCCGGUGGCCAAGCGAAAGCGAUAAGUCAUCCACCUGGGGAGUACGUCGGCAACGAUGAAACUCAAAUGAAUUGGCGGGG
This 393-nucleotide ribosomal RNA is filed under the name uncultured bacterium. RNAcentral's name for it is "partial 16S ribosomal RNA". It matches the Rfam family "Bacterial small subunit ribosomal RNA", at positions 523 to 918 of the family's 1533-position model. The record is from RNAcentral.